RNAcentral lists this ribosomal RNA (448 nucleotides) under uncultured bacterium. Its description in RNAcentral is "SSU rRNA". It matches the Rfam family "Bacterial small subunit ribosomal RNA", at positions 26 to 518 of the family's 1533-position model. The record is from RNAcentral.
AGAGCGAACGCUGGCGGCAGGCUUAACACAUGCAAGUCGAGCGGGCGUAGCAAUACGUCAGCGGCAGACGGGUGAGUAACGCGUGGGAACAUACCUUUUGGUUCGGAACAACACAGGGAAACUUGUGCUAAUACCGGAUAAGCCCUUACGGGGAAAGAUUUAUCGCCGAAAGAUUGGCCCGCGUCUGAUUAGCUAGUUGGUGAGGUAACGGCUCACCAAGGCGACGAUCAGUAGCUGGUCUGAGAGGAUGAUCAGCCACAUUGGGACUGAGACACGGCCCAAACUCCUACAGGAGGCAGCAGUGGGGAAUAUUGGACAAUGGGCGCAAGCCUGAUCCAGCCAUGCCGCGUGAGUGAUGAAGGCCCUAGGGUUGUAAAGCUCUUUUGUGCGGGAAGAUAAUGACGGUACCGCAAGAAUAAGCCCCGGCUAACUUCGCGCCAGCAGCCGC